UACGAAGGGUGCAAGCGUUACUCGGAAUUACUGGGCGUAAAGCGUGCGUAGGCGGUUUGUUAAGUCUGAUGUGAAAGCCCUGGGCUCAACCUGGGAAUUGCAUUGGAUACUGGCAGGCUAGAGUGCGGUAGAGGAUGGCGGAAUUCCCGGUGUAGCAGUGAAAUGCGUAGAGAUCGGGAGGAACAUCAGUUGCGAAGGCGGCUCUCUGGACCAGCACUGACACUGAGGCACGAAAGCGUGGGGAGCAAACAGG
This 253-nucleotide ribosomal RNA is filed under the name uncultured bacterium. Its description in RNAcentral is "partial 16S ribosomal RNA". It matches the Rfam family "Bacterial small subunit ribosomal RNA", at positions 524 to 776 of the family's 1533-position model. The record is from RNAcentral.